RNAcentral lists this transfer RNA (76 nucleotides) under Candidatus Auribacterota bacterium. RNAcentral describes it as "tRNA-Thr". It matches the Rfam family "tRNA". From Rfam's summary of the family: Transfer RNA (tRNA) molecules are approximately 80 nucleotides in length. Their secondary structure includes four short double-helical elements and three loops (D, anti-codon, and T loops). The record is from RNAcentral. Lineage: Bacteria; Pseudomonadati; Candidatus Auribacterota.
GCCCACGUAGCUCAAUCGGCAGAGCAGCGCAUUCGUAAUGCGCAGGUUAUCAGUUCAAGUCUGAUCGUGGGCUCCA